AUGGCGUCAGAGAAAUUGAGUAGAGUUUGAACAUACCAGAACACUAAAUGAAAUAAUUAGAGCAUAAAAAAAACACAUGAAAAUUAGUUGAAUCCUUCAGAGGCACCCAAAAACAAACCAAUGUUCAAUCAUGACUUCAAAUAGGAAACAGCGAUCCAUUUAUCACUAAAUAUAUAUAUGUGGGUUCUUUGAGUUUACCUCUUCAGCGAGCAAGGCAACAGAAAGAUCCAAAUAGAGGUUUAUAUUGACUUUAAAUUUUCUACAAAGCGAACCAAUAGCGACGACCUCGACGGAACCUCUGAUUUGGUGAUUUCAGAAGUGUGUGCAGCUGUUUCUACUGCUGGUUCGAUGGAGAUGGAGUCUUAAGUAGCUGAAGUUCGGCUGUUGUUGAAGAAGAAGAUGGAGAAGGUAGGCUACGGGCAUUUUCCGGCGUUAGGCUACUGAAGUUCAGUCUUCACGAAGAAGACGAUUACGCAAGGUUGAAAGGGGAGUCCGAAACUUUUUUCGAAAAAAACAGCGCUGCUGAUUUUCAUUUUUUAAAAGAUUGCUUCUUCAUUUUUUUUUUGUUUUAUUUGAUUUUUGAAGAAGACAAUGGCCGAUAUUUUAGGUGUCUAUGUUUUAGGUGUAGGUAUUAUUAUAUAGGGGUAGGGGUUACGUUAGGUCAAAUAGGAAAUGCCGUAGGCCUUCAAUAUUUUGGGCUAUCUCAAAUUGGACCUUUUCAAUUAAAAAU
This 730-nucleotide long non-coding RNA is filed under the name Nicotiana benthamiana. Its description in RNAcentral is "long non-coding RNA (NBEN_LNC030086)". Lineage: Eukaryota; Viridiplantae; Streptophyta; Magnoliopsida; Solanales; Solanaceae. The record is from RNAcentral.